UAUCAGUCAUGCAUAGCAUAUCAAUAAGCGGAGGAAAAGAAACUAACAAGGAUUCCCUUAGUAACGGCGAGUGAAGCGGGAAGAGCUCAAAUUUGAAAUCUUCAAGGUUUUACCUUGACGAAUUGUAGUUUAAAGAAGUGUUUUCUGUUGAAGUUUUGGUAAAAGUUCUUUGGAAUAGGACAUCAUAGAGGGUGAGAAUCCCGUAGUUUGACCAUUACUUUCAGCUUUGUGAUACACUUUCAAAGAGUCGGAUUGUUUGGGAAUGCAGUCCAAAAUGGGUGGUAAAUUUCAUCUAAAGCUAAAUAUUGGCGAGAGACCGAUAGCGAACAAGUACCGUGAGGGAAAGAUGAAAAGAACUUUGAAAAGAGAGUUAAACAGUACGUGAAAUUGUCAAAGGGAAGCGUUUGACACCAGUGUUGUUUUCUCGAAAAUCAAUUAAAAAGAGUUGGAUUUUGUGUUGUAUUGACUUUAUCAGGCUUUCCUUCACUCUUUUCCAGCUUUUUUUAAUGCACUUUUCGUUUAACAAGUCAACAUCAGUUUCUCUUGUUGUAAAAAGGUCAUUGGAAGGUGGCUUUCUCUUCGGAGAAAGUGUUUAUAGCCUUUGACUCAUGCAAUCGGAGAGACUGAGGUCUGCAGCGUAGAUCCUUCGGGGUUAGAUACAUUUGUGCUAAGUUAUAGCUUUUCAUAGACAACUUGUUGACUAUGUUUAGUCUUGUAGCUUACUCGCUUAUGCUAUUUUACCUACGCUUAGGAUGUUGAACUCUAUCACACACAG
This 775-nucleotide ribosomal RNA is filed under the name uncultured Neocallimastigales. Its description in RNAcentral is "partial large subunit ribosomal RNA". It matches the Rfam family "Eukaryotic large subunit ribosomal RNA", at positions 22 to 621 of the family's 3401-position model. Lineage: Eukaryota; Fungi; Neocallimastigomycota; Neocallimastigomycetes; Neocallimastigales. The record is from RNAcentral.